This 477-nucleotide long non-coding RNA is filed under the name Bos taurus (domestic cattle). RNAcentral describes it as "long non-coding RNA NONBTAT016180". Lineage: Eukaryota; Metazoa; Chordata; Mammalia; Artiodactyla; Bovidae. The record is from RNAcentral.
GUAUGUAUGUGGACCACCUAUUGAUAGACAAGAGGUGGCCCACAUAUAUACUAGUAGAUGAUGAUGAUGAUAAAAUCACUUUUCAGUAAUCAUGAAAUGAGCAGUAUGUUCAAGGCAUGGAUCUAGACACUGAGGGAGAGGUCAAGCCUCUGCCUUUCAGAAAUAUCUUCUGUAUUGGGGAGUGGGGAGCUGAGCUAGGAAAACACCAAAAAAAAAAAAAAUGAAACAUAGCAAAUCAAACAACUUUUGGUCCAAUCCUACCACAGAGUCAUAUUUUAAGAAACCUCAGUGUAACAACUGCAAAUCAUUGAAAUUUACUAUUUAUUUUCCUUGAAGCCUAGUAGUAUAUGCCACAUGAGGGUCCCAUAUGUAACUCUCAGCAAACCUCCUUAAAUUCUCUCACACUCAGCCUCCCUCACUCAUGUAUGGCUGUAGGACUUCAAAAUUCAUCUCUCUACUCCUCCAUCCCAAAAUCAC